RNAcentral lists this ribosomal RNA (352 nucleotides) under Sarda orientalis (striped bonito). RNAcentral's name for it is "partial 12S ribosomal RNA". It matches the Rfam family "Bacterial small subunit ribosomal RNA", at positions 1027 to 1533 of the family's 1533-position model. Lineage: Eukaryota; Metazoa; Chordata; Actinopteri; Scombriformes; Scombridae. The record is from RNAcentral.
UGUUUAUCCCGCCUAUAUACCGCCGUCGUCAGCUUACCCUGUGAAGGUCUAAUAGUAAGCAAAAUUGGCAUCGCCCAGAACGUCAGGUCGAGGUGUAGCGCAUGAGAGGGGAAGAAAUGGGCUACAUUCGCUAUCAUAGCGAAUACGAACGAUGCACUGAAAACGUACAUCUGAAGGAGGAUUUAGCAGUAAGCGGGAAAUAGAGUGUUCCGCUGAAAUCGGCUCUGAAGUGCGUACACACCGCCCGUCACUCUCCCCAAGCUCAUCAAUACAUAUAUCUAAAACGCUUUAACCGCGAAGGGGAGGCAAGUCGUAACAUGGUAAGUGUACCGGAAGGUGCACUUGGAAAAAU